This 328-nucleotide long non-coding RNA is filed under the name Cicer arietinum (chickpea). RNAcentral's name for it is "long non-coding RNA (CARI_LNC001811)". The record is from RNAcentral. Lineage: Eukaryota; Viridiplantae; Streptophyta; Magnoliopsida; Fabales; Fabaceae.
UCGUUUAUUCCAUUCCGUUCAUCUCCACUACUUCCGGUCUACUCCAUCCAAAUCAUUUAAAAAUAUCUUAACAUAAGGUUAAAUUGUUGGAGUAGAGAAUCCAAUUCACUCUAUUUUUUGGACAUUUUCUUUGUCGCAGUCGUUGUCUUCUUCCCAUGCGUCCUAGAGAAAAAUAUGAAGGUGAAAUACUAUUAAGAAAUGUUAUAAACAUAGAGCAACAAUUCUUACCUCCACCGUGUGGUAACGCCAAAACCAUUGCAUAAAUAACAUCAUUUUCCGAAAGUGAAAUAUUUACUAAAGACAAACAUUUGUGUAAGAUGGCCUAUAU